AGAGUUUGAUCCUGGCUCAGGACGAACGCUGGCGGCGUGCUUAACACAUGCAAGUCGCGCGAUUCUCGAAGUUCGGGGUUGGGAGUUCGAACCUCGAACUUCGAACCUCGAACUUCGAGAAUAGCGGCGGACGGGUGAGUAACACGUGGAUAACCUACCCAUUAGACCGGGAUAACACCGGGAAACUGGUGCUAAUACCGGAUAAGCUCUUUAGAGUAAAAGCCUUAAAGAGGAAAGGGGAAACUCACUAAUGGAUGGGUCCGCGUCCUAUUAGCUAGUUGGUAGGGUAACGGCCUACCAAGGCGACGAUGGGUAGCCGGCCUGAGAGGGUGACCGGCCACACUGGGACUGAGACACGGCCCAGACUCCUACGGGAGGCAGCAGUGGGGAAUAUUCCGCAAUGGGGGAAACCCUGACGGAGCAAUGCCGCGUGAGUGAAGAAGGCCUUUGGGUCGUAAAACUCUGUCUUGAGGGACGAAAAAAAUGACGGUACCUCAAAAGAAAGCCCCGGCUAACUACGUGCCAGCAGCCGCGGUAAAACGUAGGGGGCGAGCGUUGUCCGGAAUUACUGGGCGUAAAGGGCGUGUAGGCGGCCUGUGUAGUCAAGUGGUGAAAACCCGGGGCUUAACUUCGGGAUGGCCCUUGAAACCAACAGGCUUGAGGACAGGAGAGGGGAGUGGAAUUUCCGGUGUAGCGGUGAAAUGCGUAGAUACCGGAAGGAACACCAGUGGCGAA
This 735-nucleotide ribosomal RNA is filed under the name uncultured bacterium. RNAcentral's name for it is "bacterial SSU rRNA". It matches the Rfam family "Bacterial small subunit ribosomal RNA", at positions 8 to 719 of the family's 1533-position model. The record is from RNAcentral.